RNAcentral lists this ribosomal RNA (562 nucleotides) under Paenibacillus polymyxa. Its description in RNAcentral is "bacterial SSU rRNA". It matches the Rfam family "Bacterial small subunit ribosomal RNA", at positions 36 to 538 of the family's 1533-position model. The record is from RNAcentral. Lineage: Bacteria; Bacillati; Bacillota; Bacilli; Caryophanales; Paenibacillaceae.
AUUGACUUGCUUCAGGCACGAACGCUGGCGGCGUGCCUAAUACAUGCAAGUCGAGCGGGGUUAUUGUAGAAGCUUGCUUCUAAAUAACCUAGCGGCGGACGGGUGAGUAACACGUAGGCAACCUGCCCACAAGACAGGGAUAACUACCGGAAACGGUAGCUAAUACCCGAUACAUCCUUUUCCUGCAUGGGAGAAGGAGGAAAGACGGAGCAAUCUGUCACUUGUGGAUGGGCCUGCGGCGCAUUAGCUAGUUGGUGGGGUAAAGGCCUACCAAGGCGACGAUGCGUAGCCGACCUGAGAGGGUGAUCGGCCACACUGGGACUGAGACACGGCCCAGACUCCUACGGGAGGCAGCAGUAGGGAAUCUUCCGCAAUGGGCGAAAGCCUGACGGAGCAACGCCGCGUGAGUGAUGAAGGUUUUCGGAUCGUAAAGCUCUGUUGCCAGGGAAGAACGUCUUGUAGAGUAACUGCUACAAGAGUGACGGUACCUGAGAAGAAAGCCCCGGCUAACUACGUGCCAGCCGCCGCGGUAAUUCGUCGUGACUGGGAAACCCCUUGGCGA